RNAcentral lists this long non-coding RNA (663 nucleotides) under Dromaius novaehollandiae (emu). RNAcentral's name for it is "lncRNA (ENSDNVG00000005422.1)". The record is from RNAcentral. Lineage: Eukaryota; Metazoa; Chordata; Aves; Casuariiformes; Dromaiidae.
CGCGGGCGGGCUGCGCCCUUCCGUGGGAGCCUCGAGGGAAGGGCGGCGGGCUCUGCCGCGCGAUGUGGCGGCCCGCCGUCUACCGGCGUACGAAGUGGCUCCGCGUCAGAUCGCAAAUACGUAUAAAUAGCUGUUAGUGAUACCAGAUAUCAAGUUAAAAUUGUAUCAGAUGCAACAUCUGAUUAGCACAGCCCUGAGCGUGUUCCUUUUGUGUACAGGCAUUCAAGGAAGUGCAGUCUUUACGCUACUGACAUGUGGCACAGCGUCGCAUCUGGACAAGGAACAGGAAAAGCACAGCAUUCAGGAAGGUCUUACUACAACUGUACAACUGUAGAAGGUGCAGUCAUAUGGACCAUUUGGACAACUUGCCCAUCACUGCAAAGCCGCAUAUUAAACUCAUUAAAAGGAAAACCAGCCUCCACCAGAGUAAGCUUCUCAUGGGAUGAAAUGCUUUUGGCUGCUAUGGUUACUAAUGUGAUGUUCCAUUUACUUCCUUGUUCACUCACCUGCUUUCCCAUUCAAACACCAUACAUGAGUAUCUUCAUAGAUAUUGCUGGAAUAGUGACAAACCUCAUUAGUGCCAGCCAUGCAUAACCAAGAGAAAAAAAACCAUACAAAUGAACAGGGAAUAAACAGAAGAAAGGAAAAUGCUGGAAUCUGUAG